GUACUUGCUUCGGCAGUACAUAUACUAAAAUUGGAACGAUACAGAGAAGAUUAGCAUGGCCCCUGCGCAAAAGCCGGGGAAGAAUUUUCUCUGUUC
Amphibalanus amphitrite is the source of this 96-nucleotide small nuclear RNA. The record is from RefSeq and is a predicted model, not a curated record. Lineage: Eukaryota; Metazoa; Arthropoda; Thecostraca; Balanomorpha; Balanidae.